Small nuclear RNA from Lycium barbarum (goji berry), 106 nucleotides. NCBI's taxonomy places the organism in Eukaryota, Viridiplantae, Streptophyta, Magnoliopsida, Solanales, Solanaceae. The record is from RefSeq and is a predicted model, not a curated record.
UGAACGUGGGGAUCAAUUUUCUAUAAAAUUAAAACGAUACAGACAAGAUUAGCAUAACAUCUUCGCAGCGAUAACAUGCAUAAAUUGAGAAAUGGUCCCAUUUUUU